RNAcentral lists this ribosomal RNA (253 nucleotides) under uncultured bacterium. RNAcentral describes it as "partial 16S ribosomal RNA". It matches the Rfam family "Bacterial small subunit ribosomal RNA", at positions 524 to 776 of the family's 1533-position model. RNAcentral also lists the same sequence under 1 other name. The record is from RNAcentral.
UACGUAGGUGGCGAGCGUUAUCCGGAUUUACUGGGUGUAAAGGGCGCGUAGGCGGGAAUGCAAGUCAGAUGUGAAAUCCAAGGGCUCAACCCUUGAACUGCAUUUGAAACUGUAUUUCUUGAGUGUCGGAGAGGUUGACGGAAUUCCUAGUGUAGCGGUGAAAUGCGUAGAUAUUAGGAGGAACACCAGUGGCGAAGGCGGUCAACUGGACGAUAACUGACGCUGAGGCGCGAAAGCGUGGGGAGCAAACAGG